UACAGAGGGUGCUAGCGUUAAUCGGAUUUACUGGGCGUAAAGCGUGUGUAGGUGGUUAAACAAGUCGGUUGUGAAAUCCCCGGGCUCAACCUGGGAAUUGCUUCCGAUACUGUUUGACUCGAAUUCGGUAGAGGGUGGCGGAACUCCAGGUGUAGCGGUGAAAUGCGUAGAUAUCUGGAAGAACAUCAAUGGCGAAGGCAGCCACCUGGGCCUGAAUUGACACUGAGACACGAAAGCGUGGGGAUCAAACAGG
This 253-nucleotide ribosomal RNA is filed under the name uncultured bacterium. RNAcentral's name for it is "partial 16S ribosomal RNA". It matches the Rfam family "Bacterial small subunit ribosomal RNA", at positions 524 to 776 of the family's 1533-position model. The record is from RNAcentral.